This 253-nucleotide ribosomal RNA is filed under the name uncultured bacterium. Its description in RNAcentral is "partial 16S ribosomal RNA". It matches the Rfam family "Bacterial small subunit ribosomal RNA", at positions 524 to 776 of the family's 1533-position model. The record is from RNAcentral.
UACGUAGGGUGCAAGCGUUGUCCGGAAUUAUUGGGCGUAAAGAGCUCGUAGGCGGUCUGUCGCGUCGGCUGUGAAAUCCCGAGGCUCAACCUCGGGUCUGCAGUCGAUACGGGCAAACUAGAGUAUUGCAGGGGAGACUGGAAUUCCUGGUGUAGCGGUGAAAUGCGCAGAUAUCAGGAGGAACACCGGUGGCGAAGGCGGGUCUCUGGGCAACAACUGACGCUGAGGCGCGAAAGCUAGGGGAGCAAACAGG